UGACGUUAGGAAAGCGAGCGGCGGAUGGGUGAGUAACACGUGGGGAACCUGCCCCAUAGUCUGGGAUACCACUUGGAAACAGGUGCUAAUACCGGAUAAGAAAGCAGAUCGCAUGAUCAGCUUUUAAAAGGCGGCGUAAGCUGUCGCUAUGGGAUGGCCCCGCGGUGCAUUAGCUAGUUGGUAAGGUAAAGGCUUACCAAGGCGAUGAUGCAUAGCCGAGUUGAGAGACUGAUCGGCCACAUUGGGACUGAGACACGGCCCAAACUCC
Molecule: ribosomal RNA, 268 nt
Filed under: uncultured Lactobacillus sp.
Lineage: Bacteria; Bacillati; Bacillota; Bacilli; Lactobacillales; Lactobacillaceae
Description: partial 16S ribosomal RNA
Rfam family: Bacterial small subunit ribosomal RNA
Source: RNAcentral